GGGUAUUUAGCUUAGUGGCACAGUGCCUGUCUCACAAGCACCAAAUUCUUGGGUUCAAUCCCCAGUAUCCCCC
RNAcentral lists this transfer RNA (73 nucleotides) under Fukomys damarensis (Damara mole-rat). It matches the Rfam family "tRNA". Rfam says of the family: Transfer RNA (tRNA) molecules are approximately 80 nucleotides in length. The record is from Rfam by way of RNAcentral. Lineage: Eukaryota; Metazoa; Chordata; Mammalia; Rodentia; Bathyergidae.